UACUCUUUCCAUGCCCCCUCUCAUAUGAGAAAGAAAGUGAGGAAUUGCAGGGCUGACCUACCCUUGGAAGCCUAUGAGGAUCCCAUGGAUCCAUAAGUCUAAGUGCAUGAUUGUUCUCGCACUCUAAUGAGUCCAAUAACAUAGUAAAAGGAGUGGUCCUUAUGUUUUGUUUUGUAUUUUGCAGCCACUUCUGGAUUUAGUAUAUGUAUGUAUUA
This 215-nucleotide long non-coding RNA is filed under the name Carica papaya (papaya). RNAcentral's name for it is "long non-coding RNA (CPAP_LNC010656)". Lineage: Eukaryota; Viridiplantae; Streptophyta; Magnoliopsida; Brassicales; Caricaceae. The record is from RNAcentral.